RNAcentral lists this microRNA precursor (83 nucleotides) under Chlorocebus sabaeus (green monkey). RNAcentral's name for it is "miRNA (ENSCSAG00000023518.1)". The record is from RNAcentral. Lineage: Eukaryota; Metazoa; Chordata; Mammalia; Primates; Cercopithecidae.
GGAUCACUUGAACCCAGGAGGUUGAGCCUGCAGUGAGCCAAGAUGGUGCCACUGCACUCCAGCCUGGGUGACAAAAGUGAGAC